CUGAGAACUCGGUUAAUUAAUUGGGAUCGCCCAAGCCGCCGGCCCCCGGGGAGCUCCCCGGGGGGGACGCGGGGUGCCCGUGAGCGGUCACCGGGAUACGAGAGAGGCGUUAGCGGGGGAAGGACCCGGCAGCGCCCGGCCCCGCUCACAGCGGAGGGGCAGGGCCCGGCCCCCGGCCCCCGGCCCCCGGCCCCGGCCCCCCCCGGGCGCUGCCCCGGGCAGGGCCGCAGCAGGCCGCAGGAGGCCCCAGUAGGCCGCAGACCCCGCGCCCGUUGCCACGGCAACGCGCCUCGCCCAGGUGCGGAGCCCCCCGGGAGCAGCCGCUCGGCAUCACGGGACAGCGAGUCCGCAACCGCCUUGUCUUCAUCACCGCGCCGCGGCGGCGGACCACAACUCCCACAACCCCCUGGGGCAGCGCGGCCCCCUCCCCUUCCUCUACGCCCCUCGCUUCCAUUGGCUCCGCCGCGACGCCGAGCGGCCGCACGGCGGCUGCCGAUUGGCGGAAACGCGGCGGGGCCGAAGCGCUGCCUAUGGCGGCCGAGCGGGCGGUGGGGGAGCGCGGCCGCCAUUUUGUGUGCGCGGAGGCCGGCGCCGGGCCUCGGUGCCCGCCGCGGCGGGGCCGAUGGACCAAAAGCUGCCUGCUUGUUGGAAGGCUGUUGGGCACUGGCCUCAUCGCCAGAACAGCUGCCGUUUUCAGGGAACUGGCCUGCUGUUGCGCUGCUUUGUGUUUGCGCUGAAGAAUGGCCGCGCCUGAAGCCAGGUGCUCGGCUCUGCGCUGGGGCAGGUUGGUGCUGCUCCGAGUGCAAUGCCUCCUGCUGGACUCAGUGCCGUCGGGCACAGCCCUGCCCCAGAAGAACACGGGACUGCCCCUCGCAGCGCAGUUGCUGAGAGAAUAAAAUCUCAGCUGGACAAACA
RNAcentral lists this long non-coding RNA (915 nucleotides) under Anser cygnoides (Swan goose). RNAcentral describes it as "lncRNA (ENSACDG00005012836.1)". Lineage: Eukaryota; Metazoa; Chordata; Aves; Anseriformes; Anatidae. The record is from RNAcentral.